Molecule: ribosomal RNA, 484 nt
Filed under: uncultured bacterium
Lineage: Bacteria
Description: partial 16S ribosomal RNA
Rfam family: Bacterial small subunit ribosomal RNA
Source: RNAcentral
AUUGAACGCUGGCGGCAGGCCUAACACAUGCAAGUCGAGCGGAUGAAGGGAUCUUGCUCCUGGAUUCAGCGGCGGACGGGUGAGUAAUGCCUAGGAAUCUGCCUGGGAGUGGGGGAUAACGUCCGGAACCGGGCGCUAAUACCGCAUACGUCCUGAGGGAGAAAGUGGGGGAUCUUCGGACCUCACGCUAUCAGAUGAGCCUAGGUCGGAUUAGCUAGUUGGUGGGGUAAAGGCCUACCAAGGCGACGAUCCGUAACUGGUCUGAGAGGAUGAUCAGUCACACUGGAACUGAGACACGGUGCAAACUCCUACGGGAGGCAGCAGUGGGGAAUAUUGGAGAAUGGGCGGAAGCCUGAUCCAGCCAAGCCGCGUGUGUGAAGAAGGUCUUCGGAUUGUAAAGGACUUCAAGUUGGGAGGAAGGGCAGUAAGUUAAUACCUUGCUAUUUUGACGUUACCAACAGAAGAAGCACCGGCUAACUUCGUG